GACGGAAGGUGCAAGCGUUGCUCGGAAUCACUGGGCGUAAAGGGUGCGUAGGCGGCGAGGUAAGUCGGAUGUGAAAUCCCGGGGCUCAACCCUGGAACUGCAUUCGAUACUGCCUUGCUCGAGGACUCGAGAGGAGAUUGGAAUUCACGGUGUAGCAGUGAAAUGCGUAGAUAUCGUGAGGAAGACCAGUGGCGAAGGCGGAUCUCUGGAGAGUUCCUGACGCUGAGGCACGAAGGCCAGGGGAGCAAACGGG
Molecule: ribosomal RNA, 253 nt
Filed under: uncultured bacterium
Lineage: Bacteria
Description: partial 16S ribosomal RNA
Rfam family: Bacterial small subunit ribosomal RNA
Source: RNAcentral